This 160-nucleotide small nuclear RNA is filed under the name Triticum aestivum (bread wheat). Its description in RNAcentral is "snRNA U1". It matches the Rfam family "U1 spliceosomal RNA". From Rfam's summary of the family: U1 is a small nuclear RNA (snRNA) component of the spliceosome (involved in pre-mRNA splicing). Its 5' end forms complementary base pairs with the 5' splice junction, thus defining the 5' donor site of an intron. There are significant differences in sequence and secondary structure between metazoan and yeast U1 snRNAs, the latter being much longer (568 nucleotides as compared to 164 nucleotides in human). Lineage: Eukaryota; Viridiplantae; Streptophyta; Magnoliopsida; Poales; Poaceae. The record is from RNAcentral.
GCACUUACCUGGACAGGGUCAAUGGGUGAUCAAGAAGACCCAUGGCCUGGAUUAGUGGCCUCCAUUGCACUUGGGAGGAGCAUUGGUCCAUCAUCUCCUUUGAUAGGAGAAUGGACGUCAUAAUUUGUGAUAGAGGGGUACGCGUCCGCGCGGCCCCUGC